UGCCAGCCGCCGCGGUAAUACGAAGGGUGUAAGCGUUGUUCGGAAUUAUUGGGCGUAAAGCGCGCGCAGGCGGAUUAACAAGUCAGAUGUGAAAUCUCGGGGCUCAACUCCGAAACUGCGUCUGAAACUAUUAAUCUAGGAUCUCGGAGGGGGAUGGGGAAUUUCUCAUGUAGGGGUAAAAUCCGUAGAGAUGCGAAGGAACACCAGUGGCGAAGGCGCCAUCCUGGAUGAGUAUUGACGCUGAGGCGCGAAAGCGUGGGAGCGAACAGGAUUAGAUA
Molecule: ribosomal RNA, 278 nt
Filed under: uncultured bacterium
Lineage: Bacteria
Description: partial 16S ribosomal RNA
Rfam family: Bacterial small subunit ribosomal RNA
Source: RNAcentral